Molecule: unclassified non-coding RNA, 1893 nt
Filed under: Hevea brasiliensis (rubber tree)
Lineage: Eukaryota; Viridiplantae; Streptophyta; Magnoliopsida; Malpighiales; Euphorbiaceae
Source: RNAcentral
GAAGGAUCAGUCCAUCUCAUGAUUAGUCUUGCAUCAUGCAAAAAUCUGUAAAUAUUCUGAUUAUACAUUAAAAAUAUUAUAACAAUAUUUAGGGACUGCUUGAUUAAGUAGAUAAUUGGUUAGCUAGUUGCUAAAGUGGACCACAAUAAAGAUACCGACCUCUUAUAACUGACUUGUACAUAAGCAUAAGGAAUCUCUAAUACAGUUGUACAGAUAUGAAUCUGUCCUUUUUUUUUUUUUUUUCCUGUACAAAAUAUGAAGAACAAACCUUUGAAAAAGCUUACAUAUAGGCAUGACAGAUCCAUCACUACAAUUGACAGCAAUAUGAAUUUUGCUUCAAAGACCAUCAUAGUAACCUCCAUAAGUUAUGUGAGCUCUAGAAAUGGGAACUCCUCUUACUGUUGUAAUUGCUUCAUUGAAUUUUGUUGCAUGGUGAACCACUUGCUUGAUCCUCUGUAACAAAUAUUUGGGGUUCAUUAGCUCCAAGAAAUACCCAACACAAAAGUUAAACAUGUCAAGUUAUACUUGAUCAAGGAUUACACCGAGGUGAUGAAGGACUCUUGAUAAAGAAAUCAAAUUAAGCAUCCUAAAACACCAUCUAAAAGUCUACCCAAGUCAUCUAUGAAACUAGGACUAAAUAUGCACAGAGAUAUAUGCUUUAUAGAGAAAGAAUAAAUUUGUUAAUCUAAAAAUUUCCAGAAAUACAAGAAAAAGAUAGGUAGAAACCUUGUCAUCACUGAAAAUCUGGAACCUCAGCUUUUGGUUCUGUUGCUGCUGCUGCUUGUUUCUUUGUUGGCUUCCAAAAAUGAUAAUACAAACAGUAGCAGCUGCAACACCAAAGGAGCAAAUUGCUCCAAUCCCAUUCAAGCUCCACUUCCAUAAAUUCAAGCCACCAUUAUUCUCCUCCCAGUUAAUCUCCUCCACUUCCACAAUUUCUUUUUCAUUCUUGAUUCUUGGGAAACUAAUCUUGGUCUCCAAGGUCUCACCUUUAUCCUCAAAGUUAAACUUGCCAGCAUCAAUUUGAGGAGGCACAAAACUUUUGCUUGUUGGGGACUUGGGAGAGUCCAUUUUCAUGUCGACAAAUUCAUUUUCCUUCAUUUUCUUGAAGAAAACUUGGGAAACCGGAUCUUGAUCAGCUUCUUUUGAAGCUAUGUCAGGACCUUUGACUUCUGGCAUGAUCACAGAAGGCAUCACCCUUAUGUCAAUAGCCUUUGAUUUGUCCUCUUGAUCCUUACCAGUGGUGAUUCUUGUUGGUUCCAACUGAAAUGGAACUGGGACAAGUUGAUUAGGCACCAUCCUUGUGUUUCUUGGAGGUGAAGAUGGGCACACAAAGUAGUUCAUAUCGAACACACUUUUUGAAUUAGAACUGCGUUUGCUUGCUGCAAAAUUCUUUUUUUCACCAUCUUCAUGGUAAUCAAGAAAUCCCCCAUGCGGCAGAAUUUCCCAUUCUUCAAGAUCCAUUUCUAAGAGGGAAAAUUUUUUCCUUUUUCGAUCUUGGAAAUGGAAUUGGAACAAAGAGAUGGGUUGAUAUAAGAUGAUUAUGAACUAGGGGUUGAAUUAAUGAUCAAAGAAGGUGGGCUUUUCAUGGAGUGUUGUGUGGAAAUUUCAUUAGUAAAGAGCGCUAAUUAAGGCCACCGCAGCUUGGUGUCUUCUAGCGUCGUUGGAGUAUUCAGAUUGAAACCAGAGGCACGGAAGACAGACAGAUAUGAGCAUGAUAUGUGACAUGGUGUGCAUUCUUAUCCUUCCAAAAGGUGACAAUUAGGAGGUGGUCCAUUGGGACCCACUAAAGAGAAUGCCUUGUUCCAUGGUGUUCCGUCGGUUAUUUCUUUUCAAUUUUUAUAUCCUUUAAGUUUGAUUACUAUAAUGCUACUUUUGAUAAAUUUUACUUAACAG